Molecule: non-coding RNA, 73 nt
Organism: Blepharisma stoltei
Lineage: Eukaryota; Ciliophora; Heterotrichea; Heterotrichida; Blepharismidae
Source: the annotation of a GenBank genome assembly
UCCGCAUUAGUCUAGCUGGUUAGGAUAACAGGCUCUCACCCUGUAGACCCGGGUUCAAGUCCCGGAUGCGGAA